GGUCAGGACGAACGCUGGCGGCGUGCCUAAUACAUGCAAGUCGAGCGGACAGAUGGGAGCUUGCUCCCUGAAGUCAGCGGCGGACGGGUGAGUAACACGUGGGCAACCUGCCUGUAAGACUGGGAUAACUCCGGGAAACCGGGGCUAAUACCGGAUAAUUCUUUCCCUCACAUGAGGGAAAGCUGAAAGAUGGUUUCGGCUAUCACUUACAGAUGGGCCCGCGGCGCAUUAGCUAGUUGGUGAGGUAACGGCUCACCAAGGCAACGAUGCGUAGCCGACCUGAGAGGGUGAUCGGCCACACUGGGACUGAGACACGGCCCAGACUCCUACGGGAGGCAGCAGUAGGGAAUCUUCCGCAAUGGACGAAAGUCUGACGGAGCAACGCCGCGUGAGUGAUGAAGGUUUUCGGAUCGUAAAACUUCUGUUGUUAGGGAAGAACAAGUACCGGAGUAACUGCCGGUACCUGCGG
This 469-nucleotide ribosomal RNA is filed under the name Cytobacillus firmus. Its description in RNAcentral is "bacterial SSU rRNA". It matches the Rfam family "Bacterial small subunit ribosomal RNA", at positions 22 to 484 of the family's 1533-position model. Lineage: Bacteria; Bacillati; Bacillota; Bacilli; Caryophanales; Bacillaceae. The record is from RNAcentral.